AUUAAAACUUGGGGAACAUUCCAUACAAUUAGAACGAUAUAGAGAAGAUUAACAUGGCCACUGCGCAAGGAUGAGAUGCACAAAUCGAGAAAUGGUAUCAGAGCCA
Cucurbita pepo subsp. pepo (vegetable marrow) is the source of this 106-nucleotide small nuclear RNA. The record is from RefSeq and is a predicted model, not a curated record. Lineage: Eukaryota; Viridiplantae; Streptophyta; Magnoliopsida; Cucurbitales; Cucurbitaceae.